ACGGGAGGCAGCAGUGGGGAAUAUUGCACAAUGGGGGAAACCCUGAUGCAGCGACGCCGCGUGAGUGAAGAAGUAUUUCGGUAUGUAAGGCUCUAUCAGCAAGGAAGAAAAUGACGGUACUUGACUAAGAAGCCCCGGCUAACUACGUGCCAGCAGCCGCGGUAAUACGUAGGGGGCAAGCGUUAUCCGGAUUUACUGGGUGUAAAGGGAGCGUAGACGGUGAGGCAAGUCUGAAGUGAAAUGCAUGGGCUCAACCCAUGAACUGCUUUGGAAACUGUCUGACUAGAGUGCAGGAGAGGUAAGUGGAAUUCCUAGUGUAGCGGUGAAAUGCGUAGAUAUUAGGAGGAACACCAGUGGCGAAGGCGGCUUACUGGACUGUAACUGACGUUGAGGCUCGAAAGCGUGGGGAGCAAACAGGAUUAGAUACCCUGGUA
RNAcentral lists this ribosomal RNA (434 nucleotides) under uncultured Lachnospiraceae bacterium. RNAcentral's name for it is "bacterial SSU rRNA". It matches the Rfam family "Bacterial small subunit ribosomal RNA", at positions 341 to 792 of the family's 1533-position model. The record is from RNAcentral. Lineage: Bacteria; Bacillati; Bacillota; Clostridia; Lachnospirales; Lachnospiraceae.